Long non-coding RNA from Mya arenaria, 656 nucleotides. RefSeq lists it as uncharacterized. The record is from RefSeq and is a predicted model, not a curated record. Lineage: Eukaryota; Metazoa; Mollusca; Bivalvia; Myida; Myidae. The transcript has 6 exons.
CCCCCCCCCCCACCAAGCUGCCCACCAGAGGCCAAGCUGUACUUGGUGUUUGCCAACAUGCUGUAAUUUCCAGCCUGGUUGCUGUAGCCACAGAGGAAUUUUCAAGGACAAGAACCAGUGCUGGUAAAACUGUGGUCUCUGUGGUUUUCCAUACCGGCUCUCGGCAAGGAUUUUCAAGAAAGGAAUACCAUCUCCAAAUCAUGAUGUGCCAAUAAGCUCCAGUUAGCUGCGGCCUUUUCCCCAGGCGGUAGUCCUGCAAUCUGAAUCCAGGAGAUGCAGCUCUGAAUCCAAUAUUUCAGAAGAAUGAAGAUGAAGCAGACCCAGGAGGAACUGUCUGUUGAAGACCCCCCCCCCCCCCCCCCCACCAAGCUGCCCACCAGAGGCCAAGCUGUACUUGGUGUUUGCCAACAUGCUGUAAUUUCCAGCCUGGUUGCUGUAGCCACAGAGGAAUUUUCAAGGACAAGAACCAGUGCUGGUAAAACUGUGGUCUCUGUGUGUUUUCCAUACCGGCUCUCGGCAAGGAUUUUCAAGAAAGGAAUACCAUCUCCAAAUCAUGAUGUGCCAAUAAGCUCCAGUUAGCUGCGGCCUUUUCCCCAGGCGGUAGUCCUGCAAUCUGAAUCCAGGAGAUGCAGCUCUGAAUCCAAUAUUUCAGAAGA